This 385-nucleotide ribosomal RNA is filed under the name Navicula tripunctata. RNAcentral describes it as "SSU rRNA". It matches the Rfam family "Eukaryotic small subunit ribosomal RNA", at positions 582 to 971 of the family's 1831-position model. Lineage: Eukaryota; Bacillariophyta; Bacillariophyceae; Naviculales; Naviculaceae. The record is from RNAcentral.
AUUCCAGCUCCAAUAGCGUAUAUUAAAGUUGUUGCAGUUAAAAAGCUCGUAGUUGGAUUUGUGGCGUAUGGUGUGUUCCGGGCACUUGUUGUCUGAGUAACCUGCUGUUGCCAUCCUUGGGUGGAACCUGUGUGGCAUUAGGUUGUCGUGCAGGGGAUGCCCAUCAUUUACUGUGAAAAAAUUAGAGUGUUCAAAGCAGGCUUAUGCCGUUGAAUAUAUUAGCAUGGAAUAAUGAGAUAGGACUUUUUUACUAUUUUGUUGGUUUGCGUAAAGAGGUAAUGAUUAAUAGGGACAGUUGGGGGUAUUCGUAUUCCAUUGUCAGAGGUGAAAUUCUUGGAUUUUUGGAAGACGAACUACUGCGAAAGCAUUUACCAAGGAUGUUUUC